GAUGAACGCUGGCGGCGUGCCUAAUACAUGCAAGUCGAGCGAACAGACGAGGAGCUUGCUCCUCUGACGUUAGCGGCGGACGGGUGGGUAACACGUGGAUAACCUACCUAUAAGACUGGGAUAACUUCGGGAAACCGGAGCUAAUACCGGAUAAUAUAUUGAACCGCAUGGUUCAAUAGUGAAAGACGGUUUUGCUGUCACUUAUAGAUGGAUCCGCGCCGCAUUAGCUAGUUGGUAAGGUAACGGCUUACCAAGGCAACGAUGCGUAGCCGACCUGAGAGAGGGAUCGGCCACACUGGAACGGAGACACGGUCCAGACUCCUACGGGAGGCAGCAGUAGGGAAUCUUCCGCAAUGGGCGAAAGCCUGACGGAGCAACGCCGCGUGAGUGAUGAAGGUCUUCGGAUCGUAAAACUCUGUUAUUAGGGAAGAACAAAUGUGUAAGUAACUAUGCACGUCUUGACGGUACCUAAUCAGAAAGCCACGGCUAACUACGUG
Molecule: ribosomal RNA, 497 nt
Filed under: uncultured bacterium
Lineage: Bacteria
Description: partial 16S ribosomal RNA
Rfam family: Bacterial small subunit ribosomal RNA
Source: RNAcentral